AGAGUUUGAUUCUGGCUCAGAACGAACGCUGGCGGCGUGGAUAAGACAUGCAAGUCGAACGCUGACAUUCAGGUAGCAAUAUUUGGAUGUCGGAGUGGCGCAAGGGUGCGUAACACGUGGGUAAUUCGCCGUGAAGUUUGGGAUAACUUGCUGAAAGGCGAGCUAAUACCGAAUGUGAAUGUAAGAAGGCAUCUUUUGACAUUCAAAGUUGGGGACCGCAAGGCCUGACGCUUUACGAUAAGCCCGCGGCCUAUCAGCUAGUUGGUGAGGUAACGGCUCACCAAGGCUAAGACGGGUAGCUGGUCUGAGAGGACGACCAGCCUCACUGGAACUGAGACACGGUCCAGACACCUACGGGUGGCAGCAGUCGAGAAUUUUUCUCAAUGGGCGAAAGCCUGAAGGAGCGACGCCGCGUGGGGGAUGAAUGGCUUCGGCCCGUAAACCCCUGUCAUUUGUGAACAAAUUGCUUCACCUAACACGUGAAGCAUUGAUUGUAACGGAAGAGGAAGGGACGGCUAACUCUGUGCCAGCAGCCGCGGUAAUACAGAGGUCCCAAGCGUUGUUCGGAUUCACUGGGCGUAAAGGGUGCGUAGGCGGUUUGAUAAGUCUGAUGUGAAAUCCCGCAGCUUAACUGCGGAACUGCAUUGGAAACUAUUUGACUAGAGGAAUGGAGGGGAGACUGGAAUACUUGGUGUAGCAGUGAAAUGCGUAGAUAUCAAGUGGAACACCAGUGGCGAAGGCGAGUCUCUGGACAUUUCCUGACGCUGAGGCACGAAAGCCAGGGGAGCAAACGGGAUUAGACACCCCGGUAGUCCUGGCCCUAAACGGUGCGCGUUUGCUGUGAGCGGAAUCGACCCCGCUCGUGGCGAAGUUAACACAUUAAACGCGCCGCCUGGGAAGUACGGCCGCAAGGUUAAAACUCAAAGAAAUUGACGGGGGCCUGCACAAGCGGUGGAGUAUGUGGCUUAAUUCGAUCAACGCGAAGAACCUUACCUGGCCUUGACAUGCAAGUAGUAGAAGCCUGAAAGGGUGACGAAUCCGCAAGGAUAGCUUGCACAGGUGCUGCAUGGCUGUCGUCAGCUCGUGUCGUGAGAUGUUGGGUUAAGUCCCGCAACGAGCGCAACCCCUGUGUCCUGUUGCCACCCCUUAAAUGGGAGCACUCUGGACAGACUGCCUCGCUUCAACGAGGAGGAAGGUGGGGAUGACGUCAAGUCAGUAUGGCCCUUACGGCCAGGGCUGCACACGUACUACAAUGCCCGGUACAAAGGGAAGCAAGACUGUAAAGUGGAGCCAAUCCCCCAAAACCGGGCCCAGUUCAGAUUGUCGUCUGCAACUCGACGACAUGAAGCUGGAAUCGCUAGUAAUGGCGCAUCAGCUACGGCGCCGUGAAUACGUUCCCAGGCCUUGUACACACCGCCCGUCACAUCAUGAAAGCCGGUUGCACCCGAAGUCGCCCCUUAAAAGGUGCCGAAGGUAUGACUGGUGAUUGGGAUGAAGUCGGAACAAGGUA
This 1510-nucleotide ribosomal RNA is filed under the name metagenome. Its description in RNAcentral is "bacterial SSU rRNA". It matches the Rfam family "Bacterial small subunit ribosomal RNA". The record is from RNAcentral.